AUGAACCAUGGCGGCGCAACCCAUCCUACGGAUCGAAGCCAGCCAUGGAGCAUCGACUUGGAAGAAGCGCAACAACGUAAGAGUGACGUGGAUAUAGGGUCACGUGCUGCGUCUGCCGGCAGUGGAGCAGCCGAGGUCCUCGUUUCCCACCGUCGACCGACGACCGUACGCUCAGGCGGCGGCGACCACCGAUAUCUGCAAGACCAGCGCGGCGGCGGGCAACAGCAACACUAACGAGUCAGGCUUCCUGUCCAGCGACAUCAUCUCCCACUCCCCUUCCGCCCCUAGCCUGCUACCACCACGGCCAUCACUGAAGGUGCUCAAUCCCCUUCUCUUCCUUCCCCCAACUUCACUCUUUCGACCUCCCUUUUCCUGUAGCUUAUAAGAAUUAGCAAGGUGAAAUAGAGAGGUUGGCCAGGCAUUCAAGGAGAAGGAGGUGAAAUAGAGGUUCCCUAAUUGUUGAGUUCUGCAAUUUCGAAUAGAGUUAACACUGAUUCACCAUCGGGAGUGUCUGUGCUUGAACAGACACUGAUUCUCCAUGUUACCAAUUUCCUGUGAUCUCUUCUCAAAAGUAAAUAUUUCAUACCGCAAUUGUAGUGGUUUGUUGCGAUCUAGCAGAAGUAAUCCAAAAAUGCCUAGGAGCUAGUAGUACUAAGUUGUGUUUAAGUUUGUUUUAAUUAGGAAGCGAUCAACAUUGCCGUGUAAUUAGAUUAGGUGAGUGAAUUUGAGUUUAGAUUGGAGUAUGCUUUAAUUAGGCAAGUGUGGUCGUGUGUCAUCAAGUAGUAGUAAUCCGACUUGGAUUUGUACUUUGUCAGGUUCGUGGCUGUGUCCAUGUAGAUGCGUUGGUCAUGUAAGUACUAGUCCAUAUCCAGUCAUGCUAUGCUUCGUAUAGGUGUGUUGAGUCCGGGGCUGCGUGAGAUUUGUAAUGUGGAGAAAAAUAAAAAGAAAUAAAUAAAAGAAAGGGCACACCAAGGGUCCUUGGCCAAAAGAAAAUUCGCGCCCGUGUUUUUGUGAUCUCUUGAAGAGAUGCUAUAUUAAUGUGAAUACAACACAAAAGUACAAUUUAUCUUGGUAUGUUCUAUCUAUACUAUUAUUGUUGUGACUGUGACUACAUGUUGUAGACUUUUUAUUUAAGGAAACAUAAUUAUGUAGAUGUUCGAGUCUUUACAAAACCAUAUACUAAAUAAGCCCACUUGUUUUCUUAAUGCAUUAGCGGUACGUCGCUCCGAUCCUGUGUGUGUUUGUCCUGAUGCGAAUGGAGUUGCUGCAGUUUCUAAACAAGCACUAACCCAUAAGUCCGCAUAUCUUGUUCCUACUUUAGUGGUUCAUGUAUAGGUAAAUUUAGUGUUUAGAGCCUUAUUUCUGUUCUGGUGUAUAUACAUAGCCUAUGUUUGCAUAUAGACCAUAUCGUUAUGUACAAUUUUUUUAUCGAUCUGGCAGUAAACCCUUUAGACGGAUAAUAUGGGGCAUGAUACACAAUUUUAACUUAUCUUGUUUAUUAUAUAAGAUCGGUGUGACUUGUCUUGCCAUUUUGUUAGAACUAAUAAUAGCCACUUGCCUAUGUUGGAACAGGGAGGAAAGGAAACAAGCCACCGAGUAUGGAUAAACCAUUUUCCUAGACACACAAUAAUGGUACAGCCUUUGCUGAUUCUACAACCUCCGACAAACAUGCAAGACUUAAUUUAAUUGCAUUAACUUCUAUAAUGAGCAGCAAGUGUACAAUUCCUACUGACAUGUAGAAAUUGAUGCAAAUAACUUACUACUGGAUCCCGAUCUUUCGAAUGGUGAAGUUGUGUAGAAAUGUGACUCAUCUAAGCGACGUGAUUGCGUAGCUGGCUUUGGUGGAGGAAUUAGAGCAAGAGAUUUGUGAGGACCCGCAUUAAGUAAGGUUGAAUUGGUUUCUAAACUUCAAGCUUCUAAGAAAGUGAAACAAGUACUCGAAGGAAAGUUCAAUGAUAUGGUGCAAGAAGUGUUAGAAAUUAAGCGUCUUGUGUCUGGUAAAUCUCUAAAUCAUAGUUCCCAUGAAAGACAACAUGAUAAAGACUGAUGGUGCACCGUAAUAUAUAGAAGCAUUAGGAGGCAUUGUAAUGGCGGAUGAAGAUAUCCAUUCAAACAACGAGUGGUGCCCCUCGAUUGAAGAUUAAUUAAUAUUAUAUUUUCUAGUUGUCAUGUUUUCUAGAUAGAUAUGAUCGAGUACAUUGGUCAUAUAUAUAAGGAGUCCUUUUGACUCAACUUUUGUUUAAUGAUAUUUUAAUUUCAGAAUUGUAUGUCAGAAUAUUGGUAUUUCUAUUAAUAAAUGUGGCUAUGACCCUUUUAAUUCA
Triticum aestivum (bread wheat) is the source of this 2321-nucleotide long non-coding RNA. RefSeq lists it as uncharacterized. The record is from RefSeq and is a predicted model, not a curated record. The transcript is spliced from 2 exons. Lineage: Eukaryota; Viridiplantae; Streptophyta; Magnoliopsida; Poales; Poaceae.